GCUGGCGUAGCUCAGUGGUAGAGCAGCGCUCUCGUAAAGCGAAGGUCGGGAGUUCGAAUCUCCCCGCCAGCA
This 72-nucleotide transfer RNA is filed under the name Phaeobacter phage MD18. It matches the Rfam family "tRNA". From Rfam's summary of the family: Transfer RNA (tRNA) molecules are approximately 80 nucleotides in length. Their secondary structure includes four short double-helical elements and three loops (D, anti-codon, and T loops). Lineage: Duplodnaviria; Heunggongvirae; Uroviricota; Caudoviricetes. The record is from Rfam by way of RNAcentral.